RNAcentral lists this ribosomal RNA (502 nucleotides) under uncultured Delftia sp. RNAcentral describes it as "bacterial SSU rRNA". It matches the Rfam family "Bacterial small subunit ribosomal RNA", at positions 30 to 526 of the family's 1533-position model. Lineage: Bacteria; Pseudomonadati; Pseudomonadota; Betaproteobacteria; Burkholderiales; Comamonadaceae. The record is from RNAcentral.
UUUGACGCUGGCGGCAUGCCUUACACAUGCAAGUACGAACGGUAACAGGUCUUCGGACGCUGACGAGUGGCGAACGGGUGAGUAAUACAUGCGGAACGUGCCCAGUCGUGGGGGAUAACUACUCGAAAGAGUAGCUAAUACCGCAUACGAUCUGAGGAUGAAAGCGGGGGACCUUCGGGCCUCGCGCGAUUGGAGCGGCCGAUGGCAGAUUAGGUAGUUGGUGGGAUAAAAGCUUACCAAGCCGACGAUCUGUAGCUGGUCUGAGAGGACGACCAGCCACACUGGGACUGAGACACGGCCCAGACUCCUACGGGAGGCAGCAGUGGGGAAUUUUGGACAAUGGGCGAAAGCCUGAUCCAGCAAUGCCGCGUGCAGGAUGAAGGCCUUCGGGUUGUAAACUGCUUUUGUACGGAACGAAAAAGCUUCUCCUAAUACGAGAGGCCCAUGACGGUACCGUAAGAAUAAGCACCGGCUAACUACGUGCCAGCAGCCGCGGUAAUAC